GUGCCAGCAGCCGCGGUAAUACGAAGGGGGCUAGCGUUGUUCGGAAUUACUGGGCGUAAAGCGCACGUAGGCGGAUUGUUAAGUUAGGGGUGAAAUCCCAGGGCUCAACCCUGGAACUGCCUUUAAUACUGGCAAUCUAGAGUCCGAGAGAGGUGAGUGGAAUUCCUAGUGUAGAAGGUGAAAUUCGUAGAUAUUCGGAGGAACACCAGUGGCGAAGGCGGCUCACUGGCUCGGUACUGACGCUGAGGUGGCGAAAAGCGUGGGGAGCAAACAGGAUUAGAUACCCUGGUAGUCC
This 295-nucleotide ribosomal RNA is filed under the name uncultured microorganism. RNAcentral's name for it is "partial 16S ribosomal RNA". It matches the Rfam family "Bacterial small subunit ribosomal RNA", at positions 505 to 796 of the family's 1533-position model. The record is from RNAcentral.